CUGAUCUCUGGCCCUCGGUUAUUCGGCACAAGUUUCAGUUAUGACAAGUUCCGAGAAACAUGAGGUCCCUGAUUUCUCUCAGUCUGCUGCUGGCUGUCUUCUUCUCCUGUGUCCAGGCCGGUGAGGUGCUGACACAGCCGCCGACUCUCACCGGUAAAACCGGCCAGUCCCUGAGACUGACCUGCAGAACCAGCGGAUUUAAUUACAACAGCUACUACUACUGUAUGUACUGGUACCGGCAGCUUCCCGGGAAGCAGCGGGAAAAGCUCCUCACUUCUGACAAACACUCCAGCAACAGUUUCGAGUCCGGGGUUGGAAACCGCGUCACUGUCGUCAGAGAGAAUUCCAAUAACAUCUUCGAUCUGAUCAUCAAAAGCCCGAGAGUGGAGGACACCGCGACCUACUACUGUGCAGCGGAGUCACAAUGAGAGGAAACUGGGCUGAACUCCUACAAAUACACAGGGGGAGGAAAGGCAGCCCCUCCCAUCCUAAACUGACUGAUGGACAUCCAUGUGGUCAAUGCUGUAUCUGCAGCCAAGUUUAAAGGAAAAGCUGAAAAUGGAUUUACUCUCACACUAAAUCUUCACAGUGAAUCGUUGUUUGAUU
Callorhinchus milii (elephant shark) is the source of this 606-nucleotide non-coding RNA. Lineage: Eukaryota; Metazoa; Chordata; Chondrichthyes; Chimaeriformes; Callorhinchidae. The record is from the annotation of a RefSeq genome assembly.